GAUUGACGUCUCUCACAGUCAAUCCAAAUAUUUCUGCAGCAACAUGAGUUUCCUGAAGCUUGGCAAACUGACCGGUGAAAUAGAGGUGAUUUUGAGCAACAGAUCAGAUCUCCAGAAUCUGCAGUCCUUUGUUUUAUUCUAAUAGAAGAGAGUUGGGGCCAUAGCCCCUUGAUGUUUGGUAGCAUAACCAUUAUUGAAUUCUCCACUACCAAUAUCCUGGCAACAGAUGAUACGUUGGCUACAAGAGCAGGUCAAAGUCUAGGAAUCCUAAAUGUGAAGGCGUUGGUGUUCACGAAGGGUCGAUGACCGCAAGAAUGACUUCUCACACACCUCACAGUCAGUCGAAGGUGGAAAAUAAAAUAAGUUAACAAGCCACUAUGAGGUUGUGUCAUGCUGGUGAAGACUGCUGAUACCCCUACAGUAUGUGUUUAGUUUAAAAAAAACUCAGGAGAAGUGUUGAUUCACUGGAGAUGCAACCACAUCCACCCUUGGUUUCCAAAAUUACGUGAUGAAAACACACUGGGCACAAAGAGCUCAAAGUUAAGGAAAAUGUUGCAUCAGCGUGGCUGAUUGAAAAGUCUAUCCUGGUUUAUCCUGGGAAAUUAGAUACACUGCACUUGCUCAGACGGCACAUCCCAAAUUCAGCUCUCAGUCACAGCAUUGGGCAAAACUAUCAAAUCCAAAUCCACGCUUUUGGGAAAGCUCAAGGCCUUCAUGUAAAGUCAUGAAAGAAGACAAAGACAUUACAACAAAUGGGUCUCCAUGUAUGGCAGCUGAAUUGAAAAGUGCACAGUGUUAAGUGGAUGAGUUUCAGAGUGCUUUGGGACAUAAAGUGGUCGUGAAAGAAUCUAUAUAAUUACAUAACCUUGCUUUUUUUGGUUGUGUAAGGAUUUACAAAUAUAGUGUGGUCAGAUGUUAUGGAGAGAUUUGAAAAGUCAGAUACAUUUAGAUUAUAACACACAGAGAGAACUGACCAUUCACAGUCCACCGGAUAAUAACCAGCUCUCAACACACAAAACUCAACAACAGGAAAUCAGUAAGAAUCCUCAGACACUCUGCACCUCCCACAUAAUUACAUCUCACCUCCUCAGAUUGGGGAAUGAGCGAUCAACAAAUCUCGGCCUGGAAAUCAGAAGGGAAAUGCUUCCAAUAAGCGCACUCAAUAUCCAACACACAGCUCCAGCGUCUAAUAGUUCAGCACAAAGCACCGCGUAAACAGCUCUCUCAGCUGGAUCUUCUCACACAGCAUAAGGGACAUUUUCCACCCCUGAUUGCCAACAGGACAGUAAGACUGCCUGAAGAUUGGUGUGGAUAUUAUGGGAUACGAUUUGUAUAAAAGCUGCUCCUUCACUCACCAUCUCCUCACUUGGUCUGCAGUCCCCAUUGGAAGUGAACCAGCUCUGGAAGAGGAAGAGGAAGAAAUGUGCAGAGUGGGUGGGCUCUCUGAUUGACGUCUCUCACAGUCAAUCCAAAUAUUUCUGGAUCAACAUGAGUUUCCUGAAGCUUGGGAAACUGACCGGUGAAAUGGAGGUGACUGAGCAGCAGAUCAGGUGCGGAUAUAAACUUGUCAUUGUCCCAUCUGAAUAAAACCUCACUUAUUGCAGCUGCUGUCUCUGUUCCGCUGGUAAUGGUUUGACAAGAAUUUUUUUGUGUAGGAGUAGCAUGCUUCAUCCUUAGAGAGUUUCAAACGGUCAGGAUCAGUGUGGAAUGUGUAUCCUCGGAUGUGUUUGACAGUCGAUCAGAAGAGGAAAACCCACAGCAUCCAAGGUAGUGAUGACAUGCAGUGGUGGGAACAGCACAUGCACGGGAAAGAUGGACAGAGGUGGAAGGGACAUCGGGAAGAGGAGCAAUUUAAUCUCCUCUAUAUCUCACUUCCAACCUUUUAAAUCUCCCCUUCUUCUCUGAUCUAACUUGGUUCCUUUCUUCUUCCCAGCCCAUCCUGUUUCCUACCUUUCCUUUGUCCUCAAUCCUCUCCCUGUCCCCUGCUCUCAAUUUCGUCGUGUAUUUGACAGAUAUGAGGGAUAGGGACAAAGUGCACUAUUUUAAACUCUUAUCAUAAAUUAAAAAAAAGAAAUUCUAUAAAAUGUUGUUGAGAUAAUAAUGUCAUCAUGACUACAUUAUUUUAUUGUAUUCAUUCAUGGUAGAUGGAUGGAUCUGACUGGGCCAGCAUUUGUUGCCCAUCUUAUUUGCUCUUGAGAAAGCUGCUUGCUUGAACUGCUGUAGUCCAUGCUGUAGGUAGCGCCACAAUGUUGUU
This is a long non-coding RNA of Rhincodon typus (whale shark), 2254 nucleotides long. RefSeq lists it as uncharacterized. NCBI's taxonomy places the organism in Eukaryota, Metazoa, Chordata, Chondrichthyes, Orectolobiformes, Rhincodontidae. The record is from RefSeq and is a predicted model, not a curated record. The transcript is spliced from 4 exons.